Hypanus sabinus (Atlantic stingray) is the source of this 638-nucleotide long non-coding RNA. RefSeq lists it as uncharacterized. The transcript is spliced from 3 exons. The record is from RefSeq and is a predicted model, not a curated record. Lineage: Eukaryota; Metazoa; Chordata; Chondrichthyes; Myliobatiformes; Dasyatidae.
CAGCUUCCCAGUAACACAAGUACAGCAACUGGCCACAAGGUGACAUGUAUUUAUUGUUUUGUUUCGGCAAGAAGAAUCCGUGUACAAUGCUGCUGCAAUGUGGGUGAGCGAAAACAAAACGGGCACGGGAGGCGUGGAAAUCCAAGAAUAUGAUGCUUACCAAGUUCCAGGGGAACCUAGGGGAUUCCUGUUCUUCCUACAGCUUUGCACUCUCUCAGUACUGCACUGGAGCAUCAGCCCUUUGAGGAGGGAAAAAUAAGACAUUUUUAUUUCAACCUUUGGAUAUUGGAGUCCUUCCUACAAAGGUAUUCCUGAUCUAAAUUCUUCAGAACUCAGCUCCCUGUUCCACGAGGCUGACUCGUCUCUGCGAUGAACUGAGGCUGUGGGCUGCAACAGGCUCCUGGACCGGCUGUGACUGGUUUCGUGGCUGUGGACUCACUUUCAUGAACUUCAGUUCCAGUUGUUACUUGCUUUCUUUUAUGGUUUAUGCGGUUUGUUUUUCUCCUGCACAUUGGGUGUUCGACAGUCAAUUUUUAAAAGGAGUUCUGUUGUUUUGUGACUGCCUGUAAGGGGAUGAAUCUCAAGCUUAUAUUCCGUAUACAUACUUAAAUAAUAAAUGUACUUUGUAUUUAUGUGUG